RNAcentral lists this non-coding RNA (30 nucleotides) under Mus musculus (house mouse). Lineage: Eukaryota; Metazoa; Chordata; Mammalia; Rodentia; Muridae. The record is from RNAcentral.
UACUAUCAUAACAUCUGAAAUUAGUGGUGU